GGAGGGGUGGCUGAGUGGUCGAAAGCGGCGGUCUUGAAAACCGUUAGGCGCAUUGGGCGCCUCGUGGGUUCGAAUCCUACCCCCUCCG
This 88-nucleotide transfer RNA is filed under the name Pseudomonadota bacterium. RNAcentral's name for it is "tRNA-Ser". It matches the Rfam family "tRNA". Rfam says of the family: Transfer RNA (tRNA) molecules are approximately 80 nucleotides in length. Their secondary structure includes four short double-helical elements and three loops (D, anti-codon, and T loops). Further hydrogen bonds mediate the characteristic L-shaped molecular structure. tRNAs have two regions of fundamental functional importance: the anti-codon, which is responsible for specific mRNA codon recognition, and the 3' end, to which the tRNAs corresponding amino acid is attached (by aminoacyl-tRNA synthetases). tRNAs cope with the degeneracy of the genetic code in two manners: having more than one tRNA (with a specific anti-codon) for a particular amino acid; and 'wobble' base-pairing, i.e. permitting non-standard base-pairing at the 3rd anti-codon position. RNAcentral also lists the same sequence under 2 other names. Lineage: Bacteria; Pseudomonadati; Pseudomonadota. The record is from RNAcentral.